Molecule: long non-coding RNA, 410 nt
Filed under: Androctonus crassicauda
Lineage: Eukaryota; Metazoa; Arthropoda; Arachnida; Scorpiones; Buthidae
Source: RNAcentral
CAAAAAAAAAAGGAAAACCGUGCCCAGCGUAUUGUCAUGACACUAAGGAAAUAUAGGAACAGACACAAGCAUGCCUUUAGAUAUAUGUAUUUAAAUUCCAAAUACAAUCGGGACAUAAAACUAAUACUAUAUACAUAUAGGUACAAAUUAUACCUUAAACACAGACGGACAGAUGAUCAUUUUACAUUAAUGCUAUACUCGAUGCACUUGGAUGGAUGUACUCCUUUCCUAGUCUCUCGUUCUCCUUAGCUCGACGCUACCACUUUCUCUCCACAAAAUUCAACACAUGUCCUUGAAAUCCGACACACUCGAGACUGGUCCGAAAGAAGCCCCUUUCAAAAGCCUCGCUAGUCUAUAUAUAGCCUCACCACACGCCGGUGCUGCCCUCCCGUGGGCGAAAGUGUCACCCC